UUUUUCCAUAUUCUAGAGACGGAUAUGGUGAUUAGACGAUCAAGCACUUGAUUUCUAAUACUAGCAAUUCUGUAUCUCGAACUUCUAAUACUGACAAUUUUGGUUCAUUGUCGAGCACUCAGACUAUUUAUAUGGUGAUGGCUGCAACAUAACCAUCAGUUGAAGUACAUAUGUACAAGGCUAUGACUCGUGCUGCCGUUCUGGCACGCAAUUAUCUAAAAUUUUGAACGUUGGAUUCUUCAAUACCACUCUGAUCCAGUCAUCGAUGUGAAGGUACAUUGAUCCAUAAUAUUUCUUGUUAUUUGCAUCUCAUAUGUUGCUUUGAAAAAAAAAUGAGAAACCUGACCAGAGAUGCUAGCAAUGAUUUAUGUUCAAAGAUGGAACAUAGAUUCGAGACUUGUGAAGGGAGAAGAGACAAAUAGUGAUGAACAAAAUUCCAAAUCCUUUUAUUAAAAAUAGUGAUGUAUGUCAUCCAUGAGGGUACUAUAUUUUUUGUUUGACACAUUUAAUAUGAGCCAGUAGAAUACUUAUGUCAGUG
This 538-nucleotide long non-coding RNA is filed under the name Hordeum vulgare. RNAcentral describes it as "long non-coding RNA (HVUL_LNC004979)". The record is from RNAcentral. Lineage: Eukaryota; Viridiplantae; Streptophyta; Magnoliopsida; Poales; Poaceae.